This 149-nucleotide small RNA is filed under the name Clostridium polynesiense. Its description in RNAcentral is "ydaO/yuaA leader". It matches the Rfam family "c-di-AMP riboswitch aptamer (ydaO/yuaA leader)", at positions 11 to 130 of the family's 134-position model. Rfam says of the family: This family represents a conserved RNA structure found upstream of the ydaO and yuaA genes in Bacillus subtilis and related genes in other bacteria. The ydaO/yuaA element is thought to act as a genetic "off" switch for the ydaO and yuaA genes in its native state. Lineage: Bacteria; Bacillati; Bacillota; Clostridia; Eubacteriales; Clostridiaceae. The record is from RNAcentral.
UAGGGCUGAAUCUCUAAUAAGAGUACGGAGGAACCAAUUUAAAGGGGUUAAUCUAGGUGACAUUUAUUGCAAGGUGCAUUUAAAAAAAACAUCUAGUAGGGAAACCUUCAACCGAACCCGUCAGCUAACUCCGGAAGCCGGAAGGGAGG